AGACUGGGAUAACUUCGGGAAACCGGAGCUAAUACCGGAUAAUAUUUUGAACCGCAUGGUUCAAAAGUGAAAGACGGUCUUGCUGUCACUUAUAGAUGGAUCCGCGCUGCAUUAGCUAGUUGGUAAGGUAACGGCUUACCAAGGCAACGAUGCAUAGCCGACCUGAGAGGGUGAUCGGCCACACUGGAACUGAGACACGGUCCAGACUCCUACGGGAGGCAGCAGUAGGGAAUCUUCCGCAAUGGGCGAAAGCCUGACGGAGCAACGCCGCGUGAGUGAUGAAGGUCUUCGGAUCGUAAAACUCUGUUAUUAGGGAAGAACAUAUGUGUAAGUAACUGUGCACAUCUUGACGGUACCUAAUCAGAAAGCCACGGCUAACUACGUGCCAGCAGCCGCGGUAAUACGUAGGUGGCAAGCGUUAUCCGGAAUUAUUGGGCGUAAAGCGCGCGUAGGCGGUUUUUUAAGUCUGAUGUGAAAGCCCACGGCUCAACCGUGGAGGGUCAUUGGAAACUGGAAAACUUGAGUGCAGAAGAGGAAAGUGGAAUUCCAUGUGUAGCGGUGAAAUGCGCAGAGAUAUGGAGGAACACCAGUGGCGAAGGCGACUUUCUGGUCUGUAACUGACGCUGAUGUGCGAAAGCGUGGGGAUCAAACAGGAUUUAGAUACCCUGGUAGUCCACGCCGUAAACGAUGAGUGCUAAGUGUUAGGGGGUUUCCGGCCCCCUUAGUGCUGCAGCUAACGCAUUUAAGCACUCCGCCUGGGGAGUACGACCGCAAGGUUGAAACUCAAAGGAAUUGACGGGGACCCGCACAAGCGGUGGAGCAUGUGGUUUAAUUCGAAGCAACGCGAAGAACCUUACCAAAUCUUGACAUCCUUUGACAACUCUAGAGAUAGAGCUUUCCCCUUCGGGGGACAAAGUGACAGGUGGUGCAUGGUUGUCGUCAGCUCGUGUCGUGAGAUGUUGGGUUAAGUCCCGCAACGAGCGCAACCCUUAAGCUUAGUUGCCAUCAUUAAGUUGGGCACUCUAAGUUGACUGCCGGUGACAAACCGGAGGAAGGUGGGGAUGACGUCAAAUCAUCAUGCCCCUUAUGAUUUGGGCUACACACGUGCUACAAUGGACAAUACAAAGGGCAGCGAAACCGCGAGGUCAAGCAAAUCCCAUAAAGUUGUUCUCAGUUCGGAUUGUAGUCUGCAACUCGACUACAUGAAGCUGGAAUCGCUAGUAAUCGUAGAUCAGCAUGGUACGUUGAAAACGUUCCCCGGUGUUGUUCACCCCGGCCC
RNAcentral lists this ribosomal RNA (1279 nucleotides) under Staphylococcus aureus. Its description in RNAcentral is "bacterial SSU rRNA". It matches the Rfam family "Bacterial small subunit ribosomal RNA", at positions 135 to 1396 of the family's 1533-position model. Lineage: Bacteria; Bacillati; Bacillota; Bacilli; Caryophanales; Staphylococcaceae. The record is from RNAcentral.